CCUACGGGUGGCAGCAGUGGGGAAUAUUGGACAAUGGGCGAAAGCCUGAUCCAGCCAUGCCGCGUGUGUGAAGAAGGCCUUCGGGUUGUAAAGCACUUUCAGUGGGGAAGAAAGCCUUGGGGCUAAUACCCUCGAGGAAGGACAUCACCCACAGAAGAAGCACCGGCUAACUCCGUGCCAGCAGCCGCGGUAAUACGGAGGGUGCGAGCGUUAAUCGGAAUUACUGGGCGUAAAGCGCGCGUAGGCGGUCUGAUAAGCCGGUUGUGAAAGCCCCGGGCUCAACCUGGGAACGGCAUCCGGAACUGUCAGGCUAGAGUGCAGGAGAGGAAGGUAGAAUUCCCGGUGUAGCGGUGAAAUGCGUAGAGAUCGGGAGGAAUACCAGUGGCGAAGGCGGCCUUCUGGACUGACACUGACGCUGAGGUGCGAAAGCGUGGGUAGCAAACAGGAUUAGAUACCCUGGAGUC
This 464-nucleotide ribosomal RNA is filed under the name Vreelandella stevensii. RNAcentral's name for it is "partial 16S ribosomal RNA". It matches the Rfam family "Bacterial small subunit ribosomal RNA", at positions 338 to 795 of the family's 1533-position model. The record is from RNAcentral. Lineage: Bacteria; Pseudomonadati; Pseudomonadota; Gammaproteobacteria; Oceanospirillales; Halomonadaceae.